GACAGCGCGCCGGGCGAGUCUGCUGGAGCUGCCUCUGCGGCCCCUGUCCUCACCCCUGAGGAGGCCAGGCCCGGGCAGGUGCCUGGGCUGGGGCUGCUCCUGGCCAGGCUGGAAGACUGUCAGAUGGAGGACAGGUCAGGUGGUCGGAAAGCUGGGGACAGGGAGGGAGCAGGUUUGACGGAGGGACGUAUGGGCAGGCUCCUCCUCCCGGUCAGGUCCCACGUGACCCCCCAGCCACGCCUACCCACAUCGCCCUGCUGGAGGCCGGGGGCGGGGGGAGCGGGGAGUGGGGGGUGUGGGGGGUGAGGGGGGUGGGGGUGGGGGUGGCCCGGCCCGGAGCUAGGGGGCGGGGCCGUGCUUCUUCUGGCCCUGGCCUCCAAUUGGCUGCCGGGCGUGGGAAAGCGUGCACCACUGCCUGGCGCCCAUAAAGACGCCUCCACCACCUGCGCCGCCGCCGCCUCCCGGCCGCCCUCCGCCCCGCGCGCUCGUUGAGGCCGGUGCUCCAGAGUGAAGAGCGUGGCGGUGCGGCGGUAGCGCAGGGCCCUCCUGCGGGGCCAGGCAGGGGCGGGUGGGCGCUCCUUGCCACCUUUCUGCUCUCCCUGCUGUCCGAGAAGUUCGUGCGGUGCCAGCCCAGCUCCCAGCUGGGGACAGAACAGGAAACGUCCCCGGCGAGCCUGGCGGGGGUGGCGGCAGGGGUGUCUGUCGCCUGCGCUGGGCAGGACGCGCGUCCUACCGGCCUCCCACUCCGCGGGCCUCACCAGCCACCUCAUUCCCGGAGCCCGGGCCGCCGAGAGCGCCGCGGAUGGACCUCAGGGAAGGCCUGGCGCGCCGCCUCCGGGAAGCCUUCCGGCCUUCUCCCUCCACCGAGUACUGGGGAGUCUCAGGCCACGGUGAAUGAAGAGCAACGGGCCGGAGAGACCUCGGCCUCUGCCCAGGAGCAGCGCCCAGCAACCCCGCCCACAGGGGACCCGGUGGACGCCCUGGUGGCCACUUUGCCAGGCUCCCCAUCUCCCAGCGAACCAGAGAGGAUUUCCGUUCCCCUCCUGCUUGGUGCCUAGCGCCAGGGCGGGGCGUGGGCUGAGCAGCCCCUCCCAUGGAGGGAGCGGCCAGUCUACAUAUUGGAGGUGGGGCUCUGGGGAAAGGGUGUUGUUAGGAAGGCGGUUUGAGGCAGCGGGAGGUGGGGAUGCGCCCGGCGGGGAGGCCAGGCCCCGCAGCUGGACCCCGGCUCCGUCCAGCCUGGGAAAGGACUCCACGGUUUAUGCUGAAGUGGUGGUGGGGUGGGUGAACGCUGCGCAAUGGAAGGGCAUGGCCCUGUGCUAAUUGCCCCGGGGUGUGGGGCUGUGGAGGCACUGCGGGGGGGAUGUGCUGUGUCAGUUGGGCAAUGGCGGCCAACUGUGGCGUGCAGGCCUUGGAGCUGCCCCUCCAUGGAGCUUUAAUAAAGGCACUAGCCCUGCAAUUUCUGCCUGAGUUUCUGGCCCACAGCUUGGCCGACUGCAGCCCCUGAGAUUGGAGGCUUCUGCUCAAGACGUGGGCAGGGAGCUCGGGGCUCCCUGGGCUGGGGCCCUGCCCCGCUGGCCUCUACCCUGGCCCCUGCUGGAAAGCCCGUCAGGGCUGCUCUGAGCUGGGGACAGCUCCUCCCUGCCCACAGCAAUCUGGGGGAGCCCCGGUUUGUCCAGUGCCCCUGUGAGCCCUGCUGUGUACCAGCCACCUGUGGGAGUGUCCGCCAGUCACCUCCCAAUAGCUCGGGAGGCAGAGCGACAUGACUCCAUUUUAGAGAUGAGCAAACGGGGCUCCUGCACUCUGGGACCAUGACAGAGACACAGGAAGUGAGAGUGGGCUGAGGCCCUGCAGCAGUGGGGGCCGGCCUUGGACCGUGAUCCAACCCGACCAUGGCUGCCCAACCCCCACGGGCUCACCUGGCCCCUCAUCGAACCAUGUAUUACCCGAAUAAUUUAUUCUAGUGUCUGGGCCCAGCCCCGUGUCCCUCACUGACAACCAGACCAUGGAGGGCAGCCCUUGUGUUUUCCCAGGGGGAGGGGAGGGAGGAGGGGGUGGAUUCUUAAAGGGCUGCAGUGAGUGUGGCCCCAAAUGCACACCCAGGGUUAGGCACGCAGGUGAUGGCACAGGGAGCCCAGGUUCUAGGAAGUGGCACCUGCGGCCGGGGAGGCAGGGCCUGGAUUUUGCUGCCCCCUGGUGGCUAGCGGCCUGUCCAGGCAAAAGGCUUGGACCUGCAGCCCCUGUGGCUCAGAGGAAGAGACAGAGGAAGAGACAGACAGAGGUCUGAGGUCUCCCAUCAGAAGUCUCAGCUCCCAAGGCAAAUUCAGAGGUGGAGGGUCCCUUGGCCCUGUCCCAGCUCUGGCAGGGCGGCCCCCCACGUCCUGGCCUGCUGCCAGGGGUCGCGCCCACAGCCCUGCACCGAGCAGGGAAGGCCCAGGCCUGGGUGGGUCUUUCCGCAGGAUCCUGGGAUGUUGCUUAGGGGAAGCCGAGACCAGACGGGCAGUCACCUGUCUGGGAAAGCACCAGGCCCUGGCCGGGUGCGAUGGAUCACGCCUGUCAUCCCAGCAGUGUGGGAGGCCGAGGCGGGAAGAUCACGA
RNAcentral lists this long non-coding RNA (2594 nucleotides) under Homo sapiens (human). RNAcentral's name for it is "HSALNT0000606". The record is from RNAcentral. Lineage: Eukaryota; Metazoa; Chordata; Mammalia; Primates; Hominidae.